AGGCGCGAAAGAAGAAGGUUCCAACACUAGGAAAUCGGAAAGUUCACAAGAUCGAGGCGCGAAAGAAGAAGGUUCCAACACUAGGAAAUCGGAAAGUUCACAAGAUCGAGGUAAAUCCUCAAUGUAGGCGACUUGGCAAAUUGGAGCGAGCAUACGCACACUUUAUGACCAUCAAGCGCUUCC
Molecule: long non-coding RNA, 183 nt
Organism: Helianthus annuus (common sunflower)
Lineage: Eukaryota; Viridiplantae; Streptophyta; Magnoliopsida; Asterales; Asteraceae
Exons: 3
Source: RefSeq, a predicted model, not a curated record